CGGGGUGAGUAACGCGUGGGCAACCUGCCCUGUACAGGGGGAUAACACUUAGAAAUAGGUGCUAAUACCGCAUGAGCGCACAAAGGCGCAUGCCUAUGUGCGGGAAGCCCGCGAGGGCGGUACGGGAUGGGCCCGCGUCUGAUUAGCCAGUUGGCAGGGUAACGGCCUACCAAAGCGACGAUCAGUAGCCGGCCUGAGAGGGUGGACGGCCACAUUGGGACUGAGACACGGCCCAAACUCCUACGGGAGGCAGCAG
RNAcentral lists this ribosomal RNA (256 nucleotides) under uncultured bacterium. Its description in RNAcentral is "partial 16S ribosomal RNA". It matches the Rfam family "Bacterial small subunit ribosomal RNA", at positions 100 to 354 of the family's 1533-position model. The record is from RNAcentral.